RNAcentral lists this ribosomal RNA (274 nucleotides) under uncultured bacterium. Its description in RNAcentral is "partial 16S ribosomal RNA". It matches the Rfam family "Bacterial small subunit ribosomal RNA", at positions 523 to 796 of the family's 1533-position model. The record is from RNAcentral.
AUACAGAGGGUGCAAGCGUUAAUCGGAAUUACUGGGCGUAAAGCGUACGUAGGCGGUUUGGUAAGUCAGAUGUGAAAGCCCUGAGCUCAACUUGGGAACUGCAUUUGAAACUGCCUGACUAGAGUGUGAUAGAGGAUAGUGGAAUUUCCGGUGUAGCGGUGAAAUGCGUAGAGAUCGGAAGGAACACCAGUGGCGAAGGCGGCUAUCUGGAUCAACACUGACGCUGAGGUACGAAAGCGUGGGGAGCAAACAGGAUUAGAAACCCGAGUAGUCC